RNAcentral lists this ribosomal RNA (495 nucleotides) under uncultured bacterium. RNAcentral's name for it is "partial 16S ribosomal RNA". It matches the Rfam family "Bacterial small subunit ribosomal RNA", at positions 28 to 507 of the family's 1533-position model. The record is from RNAcentral.
GAUGAACGCUGGCGGCGUGCUUAACACAUGCAAGUCGAACGAAGCACCUCUCCCGAAGAUUUACACAGCUUGCUGUAGAUUGAUUCAUUUGAGGUGACUGAGUGGCGGACGGGUGAGUAACGCGUGGGUAACCUGCCUCAUCGAGGGGGACAACAGUUGGCAACGACUGCUAAUACCGCAUCGUAAGAAGAAUUCGCAUGUUUUCUUCUUGAAAGGUUUAUCGCUAUGAGAUGGACCCGCGUCUGAUUAGCUAGUUGGUAAGGUAACGGCUUACCAAGGCGACGAUCAGUAGCCGGCUUGAGAGAGUGAACGGCCACAUUGGGACUGAGACACGGCCCAAACUCCUACGGGAGGCAGCAGUGGGGAAUAUUGCACAAUGGGGGAAACCCUGAUGCAGCGACGCCGCGUGAGUGAAGAAGUAUUUCGGUAUGUAAAGCUCUAUCAGCAGGGAAGAUAAUGACGGUACCUGACUAAGAAGCCCCGGCUAACUACGUG